RNAcentral lists this ribosomal RNA (507 nucleotides) under uncultured bacterium. RNAcentral's name for it is "partial 16S ribosomal RNA". The record is from RNAcentral.
GGAGUUAGCCGGUGCUUCUUCUGUGAGUGAUGUCCUUCCUGCCGGCUAUUAACCCGCAGGCCUUCUUCCUCACUGAAAGUGCUUUACAACCCGAAGGCCUUCUUCACACACGCGGCAUGGCUGGAUCAGGGUUGCCCCCAUUGUCCAAUAUUCCCCACUGCUGCCUCCCGUAGGAGUCUGGGCCGUGUCUCAGUCCCAGUGUGGCUGAUCAUCCUCUCAGACCAGCUACGGAUCGUCGCCUUGGUGAGCCGUUACCUCACCAACCAGCUAAUCCGACAUAGGCUCAUCCGAUAGCGCGAGGCCCGAAGGUCCCCCGCUUUCCCCCGUAGGGCGUAUGCGGUAUUAGCCUGGGUUUCCCCAGGUUAUCCCCCACUACCGGGCAGAUUCCUAUGCAUUACUCACCCGUCCGCCGCUCGCCACCAGGGAGCAAGCUCCCCGUGCUGCCGCUCGACUUGCAUGUGUUAGGCCUGCCGCCAGCGUUCAAUCUGAGCCAUGAUACAACUCUGA